UACGGAGGGUGCUAACGUUGUUCGGAAUUACUGGGCAUAAAGCGCACGUAGGCGGUCUGCUAAGUCGGUCGUGAAAGCCCCCGGCUCAACCGGGGAAUUGCGUUCGAUACUGGCAGGCUCGAGGACGGUUGGGGUGAGUGGAACUCCAGGUGGAGCGGUGAAAUGCGUAGAUAUCUGGAGGAACACCGGUGGCGAAAGCGGCUCACUGGACCGUAACUGACGCUAAGGUGCGAAAGCUAGGGGAGCAAACGGG
RNAcentral lists this ribosomal RNA (253 nucleotides) under uncultured bacterium. RNAcentral's name for it is "partial 16S ribosomal RNA". It matches the Rfam family "Bacterial small subunit ribosomal RNA", at positions 524 to 776 of the family's 1533-position model. The record is from RNAcentral.